Molecule: transfer RNA, 68 nt
Filed under: Ecsenius bicolor (bicolor blenny)
Lineage: Eukaryota; Metazoa; Chordata; Actinopteri; Blenniiformes; Blenniidae
Description: tRNA-Ser
Source: RNAcentral
GAGAGAGGCUCGCCAGCAACCAAGACUGCUAAUCUUCGCCCCCCCAGUUGAACCCUGGGGCUCACUCA